UGUCGGCGGCCGCGGCCUUGCGCUUCCGGGGCCGGGGAGGCGGGUUUCUCUCCCUCAAGCCCCGAGGGACCCCGAGGCCCGGGGAGGGGCCCCGCGGGGUCCGGAAGCGCAGCGGGUACCGGACUCCCCGCAGCCCCACCCGGCGACGCAGGCCUCGGUCGGGCCCGUGCGCCGCGCAGUGCGCGCCUCCCCGGCCUAAGUCCCGGACACGUCCCCGAAACGGAGGCCCCGGCCUCCCCGACUCCCGCCAGGGCGGACCCCAAGGGGGUGCAGUCAUGUCCCGGGAAGGGCAAAUGGAACAAAGGGGGCCGCGCUCGUUGGGGACGGACGCUCGGGCGGGAUGUCCCUGGCCUGGGAGCUGGAGGGCGGAGAGCGGAGGAGGAAUGGAGAGAGACGCAGAGGCAGAGACCGGCUCCAUCGGAGUCCCAGCGGGGAGGGAGGCACCGCCAGGGUCCGCCGCGUCAGUCACUUCCACUAGAGCCCCCUCCAGGAGGCUGCGAGACCCGGGGGACACCCGAGAUUCGGGGCGGGGGCCCUGUGCGCAGCUCGCCGGCUCCUCACCGGCCUCUCCCGGGCCUCCUGCCUGGGCGCUCACAUCCCGGGGUCCCGGACCUGAUGCCCUCAGCAGGGGAUGGGUGGGGCGCGCCCUUCGGACCAGUCUGCACCUGGGGAUGGAGCCCCAGGCUGUGGGGGCCUCCUGGCCAACCAGGGGCCACCCGGCCCAGCUUCGGCCACAAAUCCGGGCACUGUGCUCCCAGGGACACCGAGGGCGCCAAGGAAGCAGUGGGGAGCCCAGGACACGACCGCGGACUGGAGGGGCCGCCGCCGGGCUCAGUCUCCCAAACCCGCCGCGGGGUCGGGCCGGGCCGCCCCGGCGGCCGACAGCCGGAGAUCGUGCCCCGGGGGCCCCGGCGGCCGUCCUGCCGCCCUGCUGCGUCCACCGAGAGACUCCGGGGCCUCCCGCGGGCGGGCGGGCAGCCGGAGCGGGCUCCUGGACCCGUGCGGAAGGACAUUCGUCUUCUUCCAGGAGCUGAGAUGCGUGCCCUGAGUUCCUGGCGACGGACGCUGCUGGAGCCUGGUCCCGCGCGCCCUCUAGGGCUUCCUGGGCUGCGUAUUAGCCCUGCUGAGACACCCAGGAUGCUGGCUCAGUAUGGGGCAGAGCCAGCUUCGUGAGCCCAGCCGGACUAAAUCCAGUUUGCACCCACUGUCUGUGCUUCAAAGUUGGGCUCCUGGCUCCUAGCCCCACCCACACAGCAGACAGCCCCUUUCUACCUCCUGGCUCCCUCCAGCUGAGGACCUCAGAGCCCACAGGCAAGGAACCCUCUCUACAGGUCAGCUUUUUACUAUUCCAUCGAAAGCCGAAAGCCAUAGCCCUUCUUCCAAAUCCGGCCUGAAUUUGCAGCUAUGGACCCUUCUUCUGUCUGAGGCAGUGACAGACACAGGCUGGGUGGCCAGGUGACGACUGAUGGUCUGGAUGGGUCUGCUGGCUGACUGGCUUCCCGGGAGGCAGAGGGGAGUUUCUAGACAAGGCAUCUGCACUCUCCUCCACCUUCUCCUGCACCUGUGGCCCUGGCAGCCUCCAGGGACACCUGCUGGAGACCUACUGCAGAGGCGACCCUCCUCCUCAAGACCUCUCCGCCACAGGUGCUCAGUGGUGAGUGGAGGUCGUGAGGCCACCUUGGAACUGUGCCCUCAUUGGCCACAAAGUUAAAUAAAAUGGUUGCAUUGUAGUGAU
Vulpes vulpes (red fox) is the source of this 1735-nucleotide long non-coding RNA. NCBI's taxonomy places the organism in Eukaryota, Metazoa, Chordata, Mammalia, Carnivora, Canidae. The record is from Ensembl.